Gadus morhua (Atlantic cod) is the source of this 123-nucleotide ribosomal RNA. The record is from Ensembl. NCBI's taxonomy places the organism in Eukaryota, Metazoa, Chordata, Actinopteri, Gadiformes, Gadidae.
GCUUACGGCCAUACCAUCUUAGGCACGCCCGAUCUCGUCUGAUCUCGGAAGCUAAGCAGGGUCGGGCCUAGUUAGUACUUGGAUGGGUGACCCCCUGGGAAUGGCUCAUGACCCCCGAAAGUC